Non-coding RNA from Paramuricea clavata, 271 nucleotides. The record is from the annotation of a GenBank genome assembly. Lineage: Eukaryota; Metazoa; Cnidaria; Anthozoa; Malacalcyonacea; Plexauridae.
UCACGAAAUUAUUUGAAUAAACCACAUCGCAUAUAUGGGGGGCGAAUGUCCUAAAGAGGGGCGAUAUUCCUAGGGUAUUUGCCCCACCCCCCUGGGAGGCGAUAUUCCCAGGAUAUUCGCCCCCGGGGGCGAUAUUCCUAGGAAUAUCGCCACGUUUUGAGGGGGGGGGGCGAAUUUCCUGGGGGGGCGACCUUUUUAAAAAUUCUAUCUUGCCCCCCCCAAAAAUUUGAGUUUGCCCCUCAAAUGCACCCCCAAAUUUGGAAGCCUGGCG